RNAcentral lists this ribosomal RNA (492 nucleotides) under uncultured bacterium. RNAcentral describes it as "partial 16S ribosomal RNA". It matches the Rfam family "Bacterial small subunit ribosomal RNA", at positions 30 to 507 of the family's 1533-position model. The record is from RNAcentral.
AUUGAACGCUGGCGGCAUGCUUUACACAUGCAAGUCGAACGGUAACAGGCCUUCGGGUGCUGACGAGUGGCGAACGGGUGAGUAAUGCAUCGGAUCGUGCCCAGAGGUGGGGGAUAACGCAGCGAAAGCUGUGCUAAUACCGCAUGUGAUCUGAGGAUGAAAGCGGGGGACCAGGCAGCAAUGUUUGGCCUCGCGCCUUUGGAGCGGCCGAUGUCAGAUUAGGUAGUUGGUGGGGUAAAGGCCUACCAAGCCGACGAUCUGUAGCUGGUCUGAGAGGACGACCAGCCACACUGGGACUGAGACACGGCCCAGACUCCUACGGGAGGCAGCAGUGGGGAAUUUUGGACAAUGGGCGCAAGCCUGAUCCAGCAAUGCCGCGUGCGGGAAGAAGGCCUUCGGGUUGUAAACCGCUUUUGUACGGAACGAAAAGGCUCUGGCUAAUACCUGGGGCUGAUGACGUUACCGGAAGAAUAAGCACCGGCUAACUACGUG